CUUCCAGGAAAAGCCUCUAAGCUUCAGAUAGUCAGGAAUCGUACCCCAAACCGACACAGGUGGUCGGGUAGAGAAUACCAAGGCGCUUGAGAGAACUCGGGUGAAGGAACUAGGCAAAAUGGUACCGUAACUUCGGGAGAAGGUACGCUCUUGAUGGUGAAGUCCCUCGCGGAUGGAGCUGACGAGAGUCGCAGAUACCAGGUGGCUGCAACUGUUUAUUAAAAACACAGCACUGUGCAAAAUCGCAAGAUGACGUAUACGGUGUGACGCCUGCCCGGUGCCGGAAGGUUAAUUGAUGGGGUUAGCGCAAGCGAAGCUCUUGAUCGAAGCCCCGGUAAACGGCGGCCGUAACUAUAACGGUCCUAAGGUAGCGAAAUUCCUUGUCGGGUAAGUUCCGACCUGCACGAAUGGCGUAAUGAUGGCCACGCUGUCUCCACCCGAGACUCAGUGAAAUUGAAAUCGCUGUGAAGAUGCAGUGUACCCGCGGCUAGACGGAAAGACCCCGUGAACCUUUACUACAGCUUGGCACUGAACAUUGAACCUACAUGUGUAGGAUAGGUGGGAGGCUAUGAAGACGUGACGCCAGUUGCGUUGGAGCCGUCCUUGAAAUACCACCCUUGUAUGUUUGAUGUUCUAACUUAGACCCAUUAUCUGGGUUGAGGACAGUGCCUGGUGGGUAGUUUGACUGGGGCGGUCUCCUCCCAAAGAGUAACGGAGGAGCACGAAGGUGGGCUAAUCACGGUUGGACAUCGUGAGGUUAGUGCAAUGGCAUAAGCCCGCUUAACUGCGAGAAUGACGGUUCGAGCAGGUGCGAAAGCAGGUCAUAGUGAUCCGGUGGUUCUGUAUGGAAGGGCCAUCGCUCAACGGAUAAAAGGUACUCCGGGGAUAACAGGCUGAUACCGCCCAAGAGUUCAUAUCGACGGCGGUGUUUGGCACCUCGAUGUCGGCUCAUCACAUCCUGGGGCUGAAGUCGGUCCCAAGGGUAUGGCUGUUCGCCAUUUAAAGUGGUACGCGAGCUGGGUUUAGAACGUCGUGAGACAGUUCGGUCCCUAUCUGCCGUGGGCGUUGGAAGAUUGAAGGGGGCUGCUCCUAGUACGAGAGGACCGGAGUGGACGAACCUCUGGUGUUCGGGUUGUGUCGCCAGACGCAUUGCCCGGUAGCUAAGUUCGGAAUUGAUAAGCGCUGAAAGCAUCUAAGCGCGAAGCGAGCCCUGAGAUGAGUCUUCCCUGACAGUUUAACUGUCCUAAAGGGUUGUUCGAGACUAGAACGUUGAUAGGCAGGGUGUGUAAGCGUUGUGAGGCGUUGAGCUAACCUGUACUAAUUGCCCGUGAGGCUUAACCAU
This 1342-nucleotide ribosomal RNA is filed under the name Vibrio cholerae. RNAcentral's name for it is "partial 23S ribosomal RNA". It matches the Rfam family "Bacterial large subunit ribosomal RNA", at positions 1605 to 2925 of the family's 2925-position model. RNAcentral also lists the same sequence under 1 other name. The record is from RNAcentral. Lineage: Bacteria; Pseudomonadati; Pseudomonadota; Gammaproteobacteria; Vibrionales; Vibrionaceae.